GGACCCGCACAAGUAGUGGAGCAUGUGGUUUAAUUCGAAGAUACGCGCAGAACCUUACCAACACUUGACAUGUUCGUCGCGACUUUAAGAGAUUAAAGUUUUCGGUUCGGCCGGACGAAACACAGGUGCUGCAUGGCUGUCGUCAGCUCGUGUCGUGAGAUGUUGGUUAAGUCCCGCAACGAGCGCAACCCUCACUUUUAGUUGCCAUCAUUAAGUUGGGCACUCUGAAAGAACUGCCAGUGAUAAGCUGGAGGAAGGUGGGGAUGACGUCAAGUCCUCAUGGCCCUUACGUGUUGGGCUACACACGUGCUACAAUGGUCGGUACAGAAAGCAGCCACUAUGCGAAUAGGAGCU
This 354-nucleotide ribosomal RNA is filed under the name uncultured bacterium. Its description in RNAcentral is "bacterial SSU rRNA". It matches the Rfam family "Bacterial small subunit ribosomal RNA", at positions 917 to 1269 of the family's 1533-position model. The record is from RNAcentral.